Molecule: ribosomal RNA, 246 nt
Filed under: uncultured soil bacterium
Lineage: Bacteria
Description: partial 16S ribosomal RNA
Rfam family: Bacterial small subunit ribosomal RNA
Source: RNAcentral
AGAUUGAACGCUGGCGGCAUGCUUUACACAUGCAAGUCGAACGGUAACAGGCCGCAAGGUGCUGACGAGUGGCGAACGGGUGAGUAAUGCAUCGGAACGUGCCCAGCCGUGGGGGAUAACGCAGCGAAAGCUGUGCUAAUACCGCAUACGAUCUAUGGAUGAAAGCGGGGGACCGAAAGGCCUCGCGCGAUUGGAGCGGCCGAUGUCAGAUUAGCUAGUUGGUGGGGUAAAGGCCCACCAAGGCGA